This 459-nucleotide ribosomal RNA is filed under the name uncultured bacterium. Its description in RNAcentral is "partial 16S ribosomal RNA". It matches the Rfam family "Bacterial small subunit ribosomal RNA", at positions 338 to 795 of the family's 1533-position model. The record is from RNAcentral.
CCUACGGGAGGCAGCAGUGAGGAAUAUUGGUCAAUGGGCGGGAGCCUGAACCAGCCAAGUCGCGUGAGGGAUGACGGCUCUCUGGGUUGUAAACUUCUUUUUCCGGGGAGCAAAAUGCCGCGCGUGUGCGGUUUGGAGAGUACCCGGAGAAAAAGCAUAGGCUAACUCCGUGCCAGCAGCCGCGGUAAUACGGAGGAUGCGAGAGUUAUCCGGAUCUAUUGGGGUUAAGGGGUGGGAAGGCGGACGCGUAAGUAUGCGGUAAAAUUGCGGGGCUCAACCUCGUCGAGCCGUUGAAACUGGGUGCCUUGAGUGGGCGAGAAGUACGCGGAAUGCGUGGUGUAGCGGUGAAAUGCAUAGAUAUCACGCGGAACUCCGAUGGCGAAGGCAGCGUACCGGCGCCCAACUGACGCUGAGGCACGAAGGCGUGGGUAUCGAACAGGAUUAGAUACCCGAGUAGUC